This 481-nucleotide ribosomal RNA is filed under the name uncultured bacterium. Its description in RNAcentral is "bacterial SSU rRNA". It matches the Rfam family "Bacterial small subunit ribosomal RNA", at positions 28 to 534 of the family's 1533-position model. The record is from RNAcentral.
GAUGAACGUUGGCGGCGUGCCUAACACAUGCAAGUCGAACGGAAAUAGCAAUAUUUGAGUGGCGCACGGGUGAGUAACACGUAGCUAAUCUACCUCAAAGCGCGGGAUAACGUGUCGAAAGACAGGCUAAUACCGCAUAAGCUCCCGAUCUGUAGAGGAUUGGGAGAAAAGGCGUAAGUCACUUUGAGAUGAGGCUGCGGCCCAUCAGCUAGUUGGUGCGGUAAUGGCGUACCAAGGCGACGACGGGUAGGGGACCUGAGAGGGUGACCCCCCAACUGGGACUGAGACACGGCCCAGACUCCUACGGGAGGCAGCAGUGAGGAAUAUUGCACAAUGGGCGAAAGCCUGAUGCAGCGACGCCGCGUGGGUGAAGAAGGUUUUCGGAUCGUAAAACCCUUUUCUGUGUGACGAGCAAGGACGGUAGCACAGGAAUAAGUCUCGGCUAACUACGUGCCAGCCAGCCGCGGUAAUGAGUAGUACA